Molecule: long non-coding RNA, 1864 nt
Filed under: Mus musculus (house mouse)
Lineage: Eukaryota; Metazoa; Chordata; Mammalia; Rodentia; Muridae
Description: long non-coding RNA chr16:90416204-90418068
Source: RNAcentral
GGACAGGCAUUUAAGAGUUGAAAAUGGUAACUCCGAUCACAGCUGCCUCGAAACUCAAAAAAAAAAAAAAAAAAAAAAAAAAAAAAAAAAACACCAAACGAGGCAGCACCUCAGAAUUUAAGUGGGAAACAUUUCUUUGAAGUUUAUCAUGGUCUCUCUCUUUUCUUUGAAACGGUUCCUUUAUGAUUCUGAUUAUAUAAAUAUUCACAUCCUUGGGUGUCUCUGUCUUUCACAUUUCUUUUUCUUUAAUUUAAGCUGUUUACAUUUGUGUAUUCCUUUUGUAUGUAUGGGAUGCUGGGUGUGGCGCACUAUAGUGUGGAUGUCAGAGGGAGCUUUGGGGAGUUGCUUCUCUCAGGUUUGGUGGCCAGCGUCUUUACCUGGUGAGCCAUCCAUCUCUGGCCUAAUACAGUUCACAUUUCUUUAUUGUGUUUUUUGUUUGUUUGUUUGUUUUUGUUUUUUCCAACUCUCAGGCUUCAGGAGUAGUCUGCCUUGUUUUUUGAGGCAGGGUCUCUCCUUGGCCCAGGGCUUACCAAUUGAUGUUAGGCUGACUGGCCAGUGAGUAUCAGAUUCCUGUCUCAGCCUUUACUGACUGAGCUACACAGCUCCUCCUUUGUUUAACCCCCUCCUGGACUUUAAAUGAUAAAGACUAGAAAGUUAGUAACUUGUUGGCUCCUGUGAUGGUUUGUAUGUGCUCAGCCCAGGGAGUGGCACUAUUAGAAGGUGUGGCUCUGUUGGAGUAGGUGUGUCACUGUGGGUGUGGGCUAUAAGAUCCUCAUCCUAGUUGCCUGGAAGCCAGUAUUCUUCUAUCAGCCUUCAGGUGAAGAUAUAGAACUCUCAUCUCCUCCUGCACCAUGCCUGCCUGGAUGCUGCCAUGUUCCUGCCAUGAUGAUAAUGGACCAAACCUCUGAACCUGUAAGCCAGCCCCAAUUAGAUGUUGUCCUUAUAAGAGUUGCCUUGGUCAUGGUGUCUGCUCACAGCAGUAAAACCCUAACUAAGACAUCUCCUAAAUUUAGUUCAAAGCAGCUGAAAAGAGAGAACCCAGUGUGGUAAAUACCCAUAAAGACAUGGUAACUUUCUUUUCAAAGAUAAAGAGCAAAAGCUAAGGCACAAGAGUUAUACUUAUCGAUAAAGAAGUUAACGACGGCAUAGGAAGUACACUACAGUGCCCCAGCUGGAAGACGCAUCCUGUGAUUGGUUGGGCCGGGCUUACUCAGUAGCAUCCUUUCUCCUAGGUUCUGGGCCUCUUGUCCUUCAGAUCUUCCUUUCUUAGCAUUAAAAUAUGUGAAAGUUAUUGACUCCUUGAGCCCUCCAGUGCACAUGUCAAAGCCCCGACUGACUCCCAGUACCUGGAAGAUGGCUGUUUUUGCAAACAGAGUCUUUGAAGAGGAAAAUGAGCUGCCAUCCUCAUUAUGGCCUGUGGUCCAGUCUGAGUCUUGUUUUAUGAGGAGUUUGGAUUCUUUUAAGUGAUGGCCUGGCAGUGGUAACUGAAGGUGGGCACGGAAGAGAUGAGGGAUGACCGGGUACCACAUUCGAAUGUUCUAUAAAGAGUCUGUGCAUGGUGAGGAGAGGCCAGGGGCGAGGGCCAAGGAAGCUGCUCCUAUGAAGGCUGAAGGGUCCAGGAGAGUGAGCAUCUUCCCUGGGAGUUAAGGACAGAUACAGGAGGAUCUACAAGCGAGGCUGGUUGAGAUGGCUUAGUGGGUGAAGGUAUUUGCUGCCACCUGAUGACCUGAGUUGGAUCCCCAGACCUACAUCACAGAUGGAGAGAAUUGACCCUUACAAGUUGCCUUUUGACCUCCCCAUGCCCGCUGUGGCUCUUCCAACCACACACAUAUGCAUCCCUCAGAAGUAAAUGUAGUUAAAAAAG